Molecule: non-coding RNA, 521 nt
Organism: Monodelphis domestica (gray short-tailed opossum)
Lineage: Eukaryota; Metazoa; Chordata; Mammalia; Didelphimorphia; Didelphidae
Source: RefSeq, a predicted model, not a curated record
GCUGCCCUGGCAGCUCUCUCCCUCUCUGGCUCUUCCUCCCACAUCUAGUCAUCUGCAUUAGCAGGCUUUUGGCUCCAGUGCUGGCAGUUUAUUGAUUGAAAGGCCCAUGGCCUCGGAUGAGCCAUGGUGACAAGGUCUGGAUGGGACAAACAAGUUGGCUCUUCAGUGACUGUAUUGAAGAUGUGAAACCUGAGGCCCAGAAAGCAGCAAUAACUUGCCCAAGUCCCAGAAGCAGUUAAGUGGCAGAGUUUGAGCCUGGAAGCUUCUAACUCCAAAAGCUCUCCAAUACACUGCAUUGCUUCUUGUCCAGACUAACAGGAAAGUGCUGAGAUCAUGGCUCCAGGUAAAGAACUCCUUGAAUGUCUUUUGAAGCUCUAAUCUAAUGAAGGCAGUGGAUAAAGCCUAGAGUGGAGAAAAAGGGGCUGCAGUCAGAUGCUGGACUCAGACAAGUCACUUAACCGCUGUCUCAGUUUCCUUAAUUGUAAAAUGAGGACAAUAAAAGCAUCUACCACAAUGGGUUA